Long non-coding RNA from Anopheles moucheti, 513 nucleotides. RefSeq lists it as uncharacterized. The transcript has 3 exons. The record is from RefSeq and is a predicted model, not a curated record. NCBI's taxonomy places the organism in Eukaryota, Metazoa, Arthropoda, Insecta, Diptera, Culicidae.
GAUUCAAUUUGCUCUGCGCUGAAGUCCCUAUGUUCCUCUGGAGGGUCUCAAGCUGACGGCUUGGUAGCUCUGAAACCUGGAGUAUCCACUCCGUCCUGUUUUGCGUCCUGUCCGCCCAAGGGUUUCGGAUUACCUCGUACACCCACAUUCGAACAAUACAUUCGAAUCCAGACCCCAUUGCAGAGCAGUAAUGCGGGAUCAAUCCAUCGAUCUAAUGCAACGGAUAAUUUCAUCGAUGCAGAUUGUAAAAGUGAAACCAUCCUGGGCAAUGAAGAACAACGAAUCGUAAUAAUUUAAGAAGAAUGUUUCUCCUAGAAGAUAGAUUCAGAUAGUACAUAUCAUUCGAGAUAUGUACAAGCAUAUCCGGUAGUAUCUGUUGCAAAGAGUGUGCUACGAGUCGUUGGUUAAUCGUUGAUUAGGAUUUUACUUCAUUUUAUUUAGGAGUUCAGUCCAGAUCGUGAUCUAGGGACAGACAUGAUUCUAGGGACAAACAGAUUUUCAUGAGGAAUAGGU